UCGAGCGCGAAAGGAGCAAUCCGAGUAGAGCGGCGCACGGGUGCGUAACACGUGGAUAAUCUGCCCUUGAAUUCGGGAUAACCUUCCGAAAGGUUGGCUAAUACCGGGUAAGCUCACGGUGACUUCGGUCGCUGUGGGAAAAGUAGACCUCUGUUUACAAGUUUACGUUUGAGGAUGAGUCCGCGGCCCAUCAGCUAGUUGGCGGGGUAAUGGCCCACCAAGGCUACGACGGGUAGCUGGUCUGAGAGGACGAUCAGCCACACUGGAACUGAGACACGGUCCAGACUCCUACGGGAGGCAGCAGUGGGGAAUUUUCCACAAUGGGCGAAAGCCUGAUGGAGCAACGCCGCGUGUGUGAUGAAGGUCUUCGGAUCGUAAAGCACUUUCGACCGGGACGAAAAACCUCUGGCUAACAUCCAGGGGCCUGACGGUACCGGGAGAAGAAGCACCGGCUAACUCUGUGCCAGCAGCCGCGGUAAUACAGAGGGUGCAAGCGUUGUUCGGAAUUAUUGGGCGUAAAGCGCGUGUAGGCGGCUUGGCAAGUCAGAUGUGAAAGCCCAUGGCUUAACCAUGGAAGUGCGUCUGAAACUGCUGAGCUUGAGUGCCGGAGAGGAUGGCGGAAUUCCGCAAGUAGAGGUGAAAUUCGUAGAUAUGCGGAGGAACACCGGUGGCGAAGGCGGCCAUCUGGACGGCAACUGACGCUGAGACGCGAAAGCGUGGGGAGCAAACAGGAUUAGAUACCCUGGUAGUCCACGCUGUAAACGAUGAGAACUAGGUGUCGUGGGUGUUGACCCCCGCGGUGCCGUAGCUAACGCAUUAAGUUCUCCGCCUGGGAAGUACGGUCGCAAGAUUAAAACUCAAA
Molecule: ribosomal RNA, 862 nt
Filed under: uncultured bacterium
Lineage: Bacteria
Description: bacterial SSU rRNA
Rfam family: Bacterial small subunit ribosomal RNA
Source: RNAcentral